Rhopalosiphum maidis (corn leaf aphid) is the source of this 630-nucleotide long non-coding RNA. RefSeq lists it as uncharacterized. The transcript has 4 exons. NCBI's taxonomy places the organism in Eukaryota, Metazoa, Arthropoda, Insecta, Hemiptera, Aphididae. The record is from RefSeq and is a predicted model, not a curated record.
GUUUUCCCAGUCCGUUCUGUCCGCGUUCGUUUACCGCCCGUCUUUUCCAAGCCCUACGCAUACGAUUUGUUCUCCGAGCGCGUUCGUGUCGAUCGCCAUCGCGGUAACAAAUAGGUACGGCCGUCGAAGUACGUUUUUUUUCCGUUUCGUGUUUUUUUACGACCGUUCUUCGAAAGCCGUACACAAAUUCGGUUCGCGUGUUUUGGGUCGCGGACGCUGACCGACGUACGAUGCCUAUUCGUUACUUUUGUCUUCUGCCGCCGCAUCGUUCUCGACCGUCUACGUCGGCGAAAUAUGGUCUUUGGAGAGCGCUGAUGUCUGUUUCGACGCACAGUUUCAUUUACUGAUGUACACUAUUUUUGGUACUGGUUUGUUCUAGCCCCGCCACAGCGAAUGUAAAAAUUGUAAAAAUUUACAACUACUGGAAUAGCUGAUUUAAGAAAAAGACAAUGCUAAAACUGGACAAACAUUUCAGUGAAAAAUCUCAUGUCCAACAAGAUCGGCUUAUACUGAGGCGUAGAGCAUAUGUGGAAAUGACCGAAAUUUAGCAUUAGCCAAACAGAAACUACUGCAAGGUAGACUCAGCGUUGAAGAGUUCCUAGCCUACACUGGACAUUUACAUAGAUUAUG